UACGUAGGGGGCAAGCGUUGUCCGGAAUUAUUGGGCGUAAAGAGCGUGUAGGCGGCCAGAUAAGUCCGCUGUGAAAUCUCGAGGCUCAACUUCGAGCUGUCGGUGGAGACUACCUGGCUAGAGUCCGGAAGAGGAGAAUGGAAUUCCUGGUGUAGCGGUGAAAUGCGCAGAUAUCAGGAAGAACACCCGUGGCGAAGGCGGUUCUCUGGGACGGUACUGACGCUGAGACGCGAAAGCGUGGGGAGCGAACAGG
Molecule: ribosomal RNA, 253 nt
Filed under: uncultured bacterium
Lineage: Bacteria
Description: partial 16S ribosomal RNA
Rfam family: Bacterial small subunit ribosomal RNA
Source: RNAcentral